RNAcentral lists this ribosomal RNA (477 nucleotides) under uncultured bacterium. Its description in RNAcentral is "partial 16S ribosomal RNA". It matches the Rfam family "Bacterial small subunit ribosomal RNA", at positions 30 to 507 of the family's 1533-position model. The record is from RNAcentral.
AUUGAACGCUGGCGGCAUGCCUUACACAUGCAAGUCGAACGGUAACAGGUUAAGCUGACGAGUGGCGAACGGGUGAGUAAUGUAUCGGAACGUGCCCAGUCGUGGGGGAUUACUGCUCGAAAGAGCAGCUAAUACCGCAUACGACCUGAGGGUGAAAGCGGGGGAUCGCAAGACCUCGCGCGAUUGGAGCGGCCGAUAUCAGAUUAGGUAGUUGGUGAGGUAAAGGCUCACCAAGCCGACGAUCUGUAGCUGGUCUGAGAGGACGACCAGCCACACUGGGACUGAGACACGGCCCAGACUCCUACGGGAGGCAGCAGUGGGGAAUUUUGGACAAUGGGCGCAAGCCUGAUCCAGCCAUGCCGCGUGCGGGAAGAAGGCCUUCGGGUUGUAAACCGCUUUUGUCAGGGAAGAAAAGGUUCUGGCUAAUACCUGGGACUCAUGACGGUACCUGAAGAAUAAGCACCGGCUAACUACGUG